GUGCUCGCUUCAGCAGCACAUAUACUAAAAUUGGAAUGAUACAUUGAAGAUUAGCAUGGUCCUUGCUCAAGGAUAACACAAAUUCAUGCAGCGUUCUGUAUUUUU
Diceros bicornis minor is the source of this 105-nucleotide small nuclear RNA. The record is from RefSeq and is a predicted model, not a curated record. NCBI's taxonomy places the organism in Eukaryota, Metazoa, Chordata, Mammalia, Perissodactyla, Rhinocerotidae.